CAAUCUCAUUUUUGAAAACCCUAGACCACAUUCACACAGACAAGAACCAUCUGACUCUCUCUCCUUCUUGAUCGAACUCAGGUGACCGAAGAUCAUUAUUCUGGUGACUCAUGUUUGCCGGCGACACAACAACCCCCCUAACCCACACCCGAUCCUCCUCUCUCUCGCGAUACCUACUCCGGCGACGGAGCCGGUGGUGCUGGCAGUUGCCGGCCGUUUUUGUUCCAACCACACCCGACGAGACACCCCACACCCUCCAUCUUCCGAUCACCCAUCUCUCUAGAGCUCAUGAUUACUUGCGAGAGAACCCCGACCACCUCCACUGUCGUCGUGGCAGUGACGACGAUCUGACGGCGGAAACGUCGUGGUUGGCGGCGGGGCAUGGUUCUUCACUUCUUCUAUUUCAAACCUGUACGGUGGUGGUGGCUGAUACGGUCGCAACGACUGUGAUACCUCCAUUUCUGGCAAAUUUCUGCAACGAUGAUGAUGCUGAUGUUUGGUUCAACUACAAUUCAAAUUUUUAUGUUUUUGGUCAGAUAUGGCUCAGGUGUCGGUUCAGGUUUUGUUUGGAUGUUCGGGUUAGAUACGAGUCAACUCAGCUGCGUUUCGUGUCAAACCCGGUUGACUCGGUCAACACCGGAGUCAACUCGGGUCAACAUCGGUCAAACAGGUCAACGGCGGUCAACUCACAACCCGGAAUGUCAUAGUUGCAUGCUAGCUAAUUCACGUUCCUGGAACGACACUUCGGAAUCACACUAGGCUAGCUUUGCACAGGAUUAUCCAGGUUGCAUUUUCCAAACUAUGGAAAGGUUGGAAUAGGAGAACCCACGGGAAUUCGAGUAAUUAGCAGGCGUUCAAUUUCUAGAAGUCUUAGCUUAUUUGCUUCCGCUGUGCAAUGAAGAUACCAGUCCAGUCAUGCCAGCUCUGAUAUUUCGGGGUGUGACAACAACCAUUAAACAUUUUCUUUUUAAACCCGUGUGAUUAAAAUUCGAUCAUAGGAGUAUAUGUUUGUAUAGUUGUGAUUUACUUAUGCAAAAAAAAAAAAAAUUCAAAAAAUGUUGAGAAAAAUACAAAAAUAUGAAGUUAGUAGUUGUUGAAUAAAAGGCUAAAGUUGUUGCCUUGUAGUUGAUGUUUAUAGUUUAGUUUUGUUUAGAGUAGUCGUUUGUAAUAAAAAUCGAAUUUUUCAUCACCUUAGCCACUUAAAAAAAAAUCCUAUUCCAUACCUUUAACCUAGCCCCGUUACAACCCUCCAAAGACCUUAUGACUUGUUCUUAGUAUUCGUGUUUGGUGGUGGAGAACGAUUGAGUUGUAAGCCUAUGCGGGUACGUGUUCUAAUCGGUUUGAAUGAUUAUUUCAAAAGCGCUAAUGCAUCAACUAUUAGCCAAUUUUAAACCGAGUGGAGAGAACACUGUGAGGGAUGUGCAUGAUUUAUUGGUUUCAAGGGCGGGUUAAUCUUGGAUAACCAUUUUAUAUGUGAUUAUUCACUUUACAGUUAGAUAUUUCGUAAAUUGUAAAAAGUUUGAACCGGGUAUGACUUUAGACCUUAACUUACGUCUCAAGAAUGGGAAGUGUGUUUCUUGUUCAACCCACGUGAAAGUGAAAAACAGAUUUGCUUGAGGGCAAGCAAACGACAAGUGUGGGGUUGUGAUACAUGGUCAAAAACCGGUGUUCGUUAAUCUUUAAGUUCAUGUAUUUGCUUAACUUUUAAUCUCGAAUAGCCUACUUUUAAUGGGAUUUGUGUUUUGCAGGUCUUAUGGAGUUUAAUGAGCUAUUUGGGAGCUUUACGUUGCACUGGGAGCGAACGGGAUCAACCGAGGAUGUGAAAUGAACAAAACCGGGUUAAUCAUGAAGAUUGGAUGUGUUUUGGGGGAUGUUAAUGGAUUUAAAAUGAGUAUAUUAGAAAUUGGCAUGAUAGAUGGCUGAAUUACGAGUACGUGGGCGAAAACGGUGAGUAAAACGAAGCUGUAACGAAAAAGUUAUGAAGAAAACAAGAAAUCAGGAAAUCCGCAUUUAAAGGGGGCGUCGGGGACACCCUAAAUGGCCGUCGGCGACGCCCUCCCUGUAUGUAUGUCGCGAAUUUUGUUGUUUAAUGAGUUGGGGACGGUUUUUAGGUGAGGUUUUGACCAAUUUUCAGGGGUUACAAGUCUUGGGAGGUUAAAACAACUCCUUGGAAGCAUCCUCUUGAUCUCUAACAAUCCCUAACACCUCUAAUCCAUCUCUAACAUCCUAUCAUCACCCGGAUGACAACAAAACCCUAGUCCAUCAACUCCAUCUCCGUCAUUCCACUAUCACCAUCAUCUUCAUCCACCAUAUAAACCCUAACUUCCACCACUUCUCAAGACUUGAAGAUUAUGGUUCGGUGUUCGUGUUCAU
RNA transcript from Helianthus annuus (common sunflower), 2373 nucleotides. RefSeq lists it as uncharacterized. Lineage: Eukaryota; Viridiplantae; Streptophyta; Magnoliopsida; Asterales; Asteraceae. The record is from RefSeq and is a predicted model, not a curated record. The transcript is spliced from 4 exons.